RNAcentral lists this long non-coding RNA (334 nucleotides) under Struthio camelus australis. RNAcentral describes it as "lncRNA (ENSSCUG00000007952.1)". Lineage: Eukaryota; Metazoa; Chordata; Aves; Struthioniformes; Struthionidae. The record is from RNAcentral.
CUUCCGGUGCCCAUCUCCUGCUCCGGUGAUUUUCGCAUGAGCAGUCAGGCUCUGAGAAGGCAUCUUCGUAUUUUCCUGAUGAGCUGUCGUAACCCUUUCCAUCAGGGCUCCGUAUCAUGGCCUGCAAGGUGCUCUAAGCUCUGUGCGAGGAGGCAGCAAGCUUUCUGCAACAAGAGUCUCUGGACUGAGAGAGACAGCUUAUUGAGGAUAAUACAUAAAAACAUUACUUCACAUAGUUAUUUAACAUGAUAAAGAAAAAAACAAUGCGGGAGGAAGAGCGCCCAAGCUGAAAUCAGCCACACCGCAGCGGAAUAAAGGCUCAGCGCAGAGAACA